CCUUUAGCCCAGGCCUCAGCCUGCAAGCGACUGAGCAAACCUCGGUGUGUACUAUAGCCCAAGACUGAAGAAGAAUGUGGACUGAACAGCGUGAAAGGCUCAACUCUGCAGGGAAGUCAUUGCUACACUAGAAAGGCUGUUUCUCCCUCAAGUCCAACACCACUCCUAAAAGAAACACAGCAGUUCUGCCCACCACAGGAAACUAUGGGGAAAGCCCUGAUGGCCCCAUAAUGAGGAAUCAUAAGAUAGUUUUCCACAUCCUCCUGGAUUCCCAGAAUAUUCUCCAGAAUCAUGUGGAUGGUACCUAGGGAUAGUAUUAAUAUAAUAUAUAACUUUUCUCUCCUUUAAUGAGUUUUUUGAAAUCCCUCAAAGUCUUUUCAAAAAUCCUUCUCAAAAAUUCCUAUAAAUACAUCACCUACAGGAUCCAUAAGGUUCUGAAAAAAGAAAAGAAAAGAAAGGAAGAGAGACGGGGGAUUCUGUUUCUCUCUGUGAUAGGAGACAUGGUACAGAGCAUGGACUCAGAUGUUGGAAGAGGAAACGACAGUUUCCAAUGCCCCUACUGAACAUGGAUUCGUUAGAACAAUUACAAAAGUUUCAAAGUAUUAAUCCACGACCAUCAUGGUGGGGAGCAAGGCAGCAGGCAGGUGGUAGCUGAGAGCUGACAUCUGAUCCUCAAGAUAGAGGCAGAAACAGCAACUGGGCCUGGUACGUCUUCUUGAAACCUUAAAGCCCACCUCCCAGUGACACACUCCUCCAACAAGGCCAUUCUCCUGAAUAGUUCCACUAACUGGGAACCAAGCAUUCAAACAUAUGAGCCUAGGGGGGAAUUCUCACCUGAACCACUGCACAUCGGGCUUCCUUUCUAAAGCCUUACCAUAACUUAUGGAUAGAUUCUGCCCAUGAAACCCAUUCUAGUCAGCUGGUUAGUGCAGGUAUCUUACCUUUUGGUGAAUUAAAUGUGGUUUACCCAUUACGCCUGUGCUGGAUAGCUUU
Molecule: non-coding RNA, 993 nt
Organism: Peromyscus maniculatus bairdii (prairie deer mouse)
Lineage: Eukaryota; Metazoa; Chordata; Mammalia; Rodentia; Cricetidae
Source: RefSeq, a predicted model, not a curated record